Molecule: small RNA, 26 nt
Filed under: Bombyx mori (domestic silkworm)
Lineage: Eukaryota; Metazoa; Arthropoda; Insecta; Lepidoptera; Bombycidae
Description: ovarian small RNA-13379
Source: RNAcentral
CAGUUGUCCUGUCCGAUCAAUAGUUG